AUCGUCAACACCGUCGAACCUUAACCUCUCUUUCGUUUCUUUUUAAAUCUUUUUAAACGCGACGCGAAUUCGAAAGAGUUUUCCUUUCUUGAAUCGAUGGGGCCCCGUGCACAAUGGAACGCGUGAUUGCAUUUCUUCGAUGCCUUUCGUGGCAACAAUUCGACCGGCCUUGAUCGUACGAUAUUCCUCGUCGAAAUUGUUUGGCUGCCGCUGCCUUUUUUCCUCGUGAAUCCUCCCUUUGUUGCAAAUGAAAUCGCCAAGGACACGCUUACUCCCGGACGUAGCCAGCCAAAUGAUCGAACGAACACGAUUGUCCUUUGCGCCUCGUAUCAUGGGCAUUCUGGUUCUGGGGGGUAAUGGCGACCGAGGAGCAAUAGGAAUUAUUUAUCAGUGUCAACGAAAACAUGAGGAGUGUGGAGAAAUGGAUUCUUGAGUUUCAAAUACCACUGGUAUGCGCAUCUUUUUGAUCUGUUUUUUAAGUUUGGAAACUAGAUGGCGUUGUGUAGUUAUUUAUGGAAAGGUUGGCAAGAAUUGAUUGUUCUCGAUAAGAUGAAAUAUAAGUAAAUGGUUUUUCGUGAUUUCAACGAAAAUUUUUGCAUGAUAUUUUUUAUUAAUCUAUUUUUAAAUUUGGAGAUAAAUGGCGCAGCAUAGUUAUGAGUGUGUAGUUAUUUAUGGAAAAGUUGGCCAGAAAUUGAUAGUUUUAUUAUCUUUUUUAAAUGCUACAUUUAUUAAUAUUGCUUUCGUAUAUUAAAAAUUUUAAUAUUGCUUAUUCCAAUCUAACUUCCAACUUCCAGUUGCUUACUUCACAAAUUAUUUCUUCUUUCAAUUUCCUAUUUCCUUCUUCAAAUUCCUUGAUAUAGCCCAUCAACAAAAAAUGAUGGAAUAUGUCUCUCAGGAUUUUUAUAUUCAAGCUACCGAGAAUUGCCAAGCACGCACGUAGGAAGUAACAAGAUUCUUUCGUAGGCGAGCUUCGCUUGGCAAAGCGUGGAUAAUCAAUGGAAUAGAUAUCUACCCGAAAAAUUCAAAGUAUGAAGAGAAAAGAAGAUAAAUGAAGAAAAAAAA
Molecule: long non-coding RNA, 1062 nt
Organism: Apis florea (little honeybee)
Lineage: Eukaryota; Metazoa; Arthropoda; Insecta; Hymenoptera; Apidae
Source: RefSeq, a predicted model, not a curated record